Molecule: unclassified non-coding RNA, 1076 nt
Filed under: Hevea brasiliensis (rubber tree)
Lineage: Eukaryota; Viridiplantae; Streptophyta; Magnoliopsida; Malpighiales; Euphorbiaceae
Source: RNAcentral
AGCCCGUCAAGAGAUUCGCAUGAUGGAGAAAAGACCACUAAUUCGUUCCACUCCACUCCUAUACUUAGCCCGAUGGGCUCACCGGGCCGACAAUCUCGCGACUCUUCCUCUACGCGUUAUUCGGGCUCGCUAAAGCCCGGUUCGCAGAAGUCGAGUAACGGGUCUAGGAGCAACAGUGGGAGACACCAUAAUCAUCGUCAUCGUAAAGGAGAUAAACAGCAAUGGAAAGAAUUUGAUGCUAUAGAAGAAGAAGGACUACUUGAUGAUGACGCCUAUAGUAAAGGUGUCCCUCGUCGAUGUUAUUUCUUGGCUUUUGUUGUUGGAUUCUUUUUGCUAUUCACUUUCUUUUCUUUGAUCUUGUGGGGUGCUAGCAGAAAUCAGAAACCUGUCGUUACGAUGAAGAGUAUUUCAUAUAAUGAAUUUGGGGUUCAAUCGGGGAUGGAUUUCUCUGGAGUUGCAACAGUGAUGGUAUCAAUGAACUGUACAGUGAAGCUGAUAUUGCGCAACACAGGCACAUUCUUUGGUGUGCAUGUAACGUCUACGCCUCUUGUUCUUUCCUUUUCUCAGCUAACCCUUGCUACAGGAACGAUAAAGAAGUUUUACCAAAGAAGAAAAAGUCAGAGAACAGUAACAGUGAGUUUAAUAGGAAAUAAAAUUCCAUUGUAUGGAGGUGGAGUGGACUUGAUGAGCAAGGAGGGUAAACCAGUAGCACCAGUUUCGUUGACGUUAGAUUUCAAGGUUCGAGCCAGGGCUUAUGUUUUGGGAAGACUGGUUCAGCCCAAGUUUUACAAGAGGGUUCAAUGCAACGUUGUUAUGGACCCUAAGAAAAUGAACGUUCCAAUUUCGUUGAAGAAAUUCUGCACCUAUAUAUGACUUAAAAUCACAAAAUACGAAGGGCGGUGUAACAAAGAGACAAACAAGAUGACAAAAAUAUAUAGGCAAGUGCUUGCUAGCUGCUAGAUUUGUAAUAAUUUUUUGAAUUAUUAUUAUUUUAGAGGAAAAUGAGGUGUGGCUGCCAGGUAAUUUGUCGGUUUUGAUUGUGAUAUUGAGUGAAUUAUAAAUGCUGGUUGAGGAAG